This 514-nucleotide ribosomal RNA is filed under the name uncultured bacterium. RNAcentral's name for it is "partial 16S ribosomal RNA". It matches the Rfam family "Bacterial small subunit ribosomal RNA", at positions 28 to 523 of the family's 1533-position model. The record is from RNAcentral.
GACGAACGCUGGCAGCAUGCCUAAUACAUGCAAGUCGAGCGGACAGAAGGGAGCUUGCUCCCGAAAGUCAGCGGCGGACGGGUGAGUAACACGUGGGCAACCUGCCCCUUAGAUUGGGAUAACUUCGGGAAACCGAAGCUAAUACCGAAUAAUACAAGGAACCUCCUGGUUCUCUGUUGAAAGAUGGCCUUUGUGCUGUCACGAAGGGAUGGGCCCGCGGCGCAUUAGCUAGUUGGUAAGGUAACGGCUUACCAAGGCGACGAGGCGUAGCCGACCUGAGAGGGUGAUCGGCCACACUGGGACUGAGACACGGCCCAGACUCCUACGGGAGGCAGCAGUAGGGAAUCUUCCGCAAUGGACGAAAGUCUGACGGAGCAAUGCCGCGUGAGUGAGGAAGGCCUUCGGGUCGUAAAGCUCUGUUGUGAGGGAAGAACAAGUACCGGCGUAACUACCGGUACCGUGACGGUACCUCACCAGAAAGCCACGGCUAACUACGUGCCAGCAGCCGCGGUAA